UACAGAGGGUGCAAGCGUUGCUCGGAAUCAUUGGGCGUAAAGGGCAGGUAGGUGGUCUCAUUUGUCUCCGGUGAAAUCCUAGGGCUUAACCCUAGAAGUGCCUGAGAAACGGUGGGACUAGAGUGCUGGAGAGGGUCGUAGAAUUCCCGGUGUAGCGGUGAAAUGCGUAGAGAUCGGGAGGAAUACCAGAGGCGAAGGCGACGACCUGGACAGUGACUGACACUCAACUGCGAAAGCGUGGGGAGCAAACAGG
This 253-nucleotide ribosomal RNA is filed under the name uncultured bacterium. RNAcentral describes it as "partial 16S ribosomal RNA". It matches the Rfam family "Bacterial small subunit ribosomal RNA", at positions 524 to 776 of the family's 1533-position model. The record is from RNAcentral.